UGCCACAGCCUUAUCAUCCUGCAGCCCAAGACCAGUUACCCACUGAAGUUAAGCAUGGCUGAGCCUGUCAGUACUUGGAUGGGUGUCCACAUAGGAAAGAUAGGUUGCUGUUGGAA
This is a ribosomal RNA of Danio rerio (zebrafish), 116 nucleotides long. The record is from Ensembl. NCBI's taxonomy places the organism in Eukaryota, Metazoa, Chordata, Actinopteri, Cypriniformes, Danionidae.